GGUUCACCUGGGCCUACUGCUCAUGCCUGUCUAGACUUCUCUGGAUGGCAUCCCAUCCCUCACGUGUGUCCACCACACCACACAGCUUGGAGUUAUCCACCCAAGGCUCUGCAAGUCUUCGCACAUAAUCCUGCUCCUCCCCUGCACAUCCCGUGUUUCCACUUGUAGGUUGAUAAAGGAAGCACUGCACAUCUUCUACUGAGCCACCAAGAACGUGUGUGGAGCCCAGCAAAGACUUCUACUGUGAGACAUUAAUGAUUUAUUCAUGAUCCUAUGCGCACUUGCAAAUCAGGCAGCAGUUUCAAGCAGAACUGAUGGCAUGGCUGUUUCUUGUGUGCUCGCCUCCAAGGGAGGAAUCUCUGCUGCUCUUAUGCUAUGUGGUCCAGGUUUGUUCCUGAAAAGAGCAGAAAUUGUGCUCCUAGUGAAGAAAACCAGAAGGCUUGGCAGAACUUCACUCUCUGAGACUCUGUUCUUGCUCUGAUUCCCAGGUGGGGAAGUCACAGGUUUGUGCUGAAGUGUUUUUCAGUAGCUUUCACCCCAGCCCGGAAACGAAAUCUCUGCUUGUUCCCCUGGUGAGGAACCAGCAAUUCCCAAUGGCCCAGGCAUUUAAAGAGCAUGACAGCCAGAUCUGGAAGUAAACAUCAUAGUCUUGGCUCUCCUCAAACUCAAAAACUGUUUACUUGAAUCUAAAUUCUAAUACCUGUCACAGGAGUGAGCCACUAUCCAGGAAGAUGUUAAAUGAUGCACUUAAGAUAAUUGAGCAACUAACUGGCUGCUGGGAGGUGAUGAGGAUCCUUCUGAAACAUCACUCUGCUGUAGGGUACCAGGAUGCAAUGCUGUUUGCAAGGCACUUCAGAGAAACCAGCUAAUUAACACCUCCAUCACCACUAUCGCAGACCCAUCUCCUUGACGUCUCCUUGAAACCAGCUGGAAUCCAUUGGACAGCCCCUGGCUUGUUCACAGAUGAGCUGGAACAAACUCCAGAGAUCGUUGUAACCAGAUCAAAUGCAAAGUCACACAGUCAGACUGACCAGCCCAGGGAAGGGUUCAUCUGCAGAACUGCGUGGUCCAGGCCUGGCCUAUGGUAAUCUGUCAACAUACAGACAGUGCUACC
RNAcentral lists this long non-coding RNA (1114 nucleotides) under Chrysolophus pictus (golden pheasant). RNAcentral's name for it is "lncRNA (ENSCPIG00010006665.1)". The record is from RNAcentral. Lineage: Eukaryota; Metazoa; Chordata; Aves; Galliformes; Phasianidae.